This 77-nucleotide transfer RNA is filed under the name Nostoc sp. UCD121. RNAcentral's name for it is "tRNA-Glu". It matches the Rfam family "tRNA". From Rfam's summary of the family: Transfer RNA (tRNA) molecules are approximately 80 nucleotides in length. Their secondary structure includes four short double-helical elements and three loops (D, anti-codon, and T loops). RNAcentral also lists the same sequence under 2 other names. The record is from RNAcentral. Lineage: Bacteria; Bacillati; Cyanobacteriota; Cyanophyceae; Nostocales; Nostocaceae.
GGUGCAGAAGGGAAGUGGCCGAGCGGCACGUCUUUCAAGCGUGUAAUUAGCGGGUUCAAGUCCCGUCUGCACUACCA